RNAcentral lists this ribosomal RNA (467 nucleotides) under uncultured bacterium. RNAcentral describes it as "partial 16S ribosomal RNA". It matches the Rfam family "Bacterial small subunit ribosomal RNA", at positions 28 to 506 of the family's 1533-position model. The record is from RNAcentral.
GACGAACGCUGGCGGCGUGCUUAACACAUGCAAGUCGAACGGAAAGGCCCUGCUUUUGUGGGGUGCUCGAGUGGCGAACGGGUGAGUAACACGUGAGUAACCUGCCCUUGACUUUGGGAUAACUUCAGGAAACUGGGGCUAAUACCGGAUAGGAGCUCCUGCUGCAUGGUGGGGGUUGGAAAGUUUCGGCGGUUGGGGAUGGACUCGCGGCUUAUCAGCUUGUUGGUGGGGUAGUGGCUUACCAAGGCUUUGACGGGUAGCCGGCCUGAGAGGGUGACCGGCCACAUGGGGACUGAGAUACGGCCCGAACUCCUACGGGGGGCAGGGGGGGGGAAUUUGGCAAAAGGGGGGGAAGCCUGAUGGAGCAACGCCGGGUGGGGGAUGAGGGCCUUGGGGUUGUAAACCGCUUUGGCCGGGGACGAAGGGGGGGGGAGGGUAAUGGGAAAAGAAACACCGGCUAACUACGU